GUGCUCGCUUCAGCAGCACACAUAUUAAAAUUAGAACAAAGAUUAGAAUGUUCAUAUGUAAGGAUAACAUGCAAAUUUGUGAAACAUUCCAUAUUAUG
This 98-nucleotide small nuclear RNA is filed under the name Carlito syrichta (Philippine tarsier). The record is from RNAcentral. Lineage: Eukaryota; Metazoa; Chordata; Mammalia; Primates; Tarsiidae.